GACGGAAGGUGCAAGCGUUGCUCGGAAUCACUGGGCGUAAAGGGUGCGUAGGCGGCCGUGUAAGUCUGGCGUGAAAGCCCCGGGCUCAGCCCGGGAAGUGCGCUCGAAACUGCGCGGCUCGAGUGCCGGAGGGGAGAGUGGAAUUCCUGGUGUAGCGGUGAAAUGCGUAGAUAUCAGGAGGAAUACCGGUGGCGAAAGCGACUCUCUGGACGGCAACUGACGCUGAGGCACGAAAGCGUGGGGAGCAAACAGG
Molecule: ribosomal RNA, 253 nt
Filed under: uncultured bacterium
Lineage: Bacteria
Also listed under: 1 other name
Description: partial 16S ribosomal RNA
Rfam family: Bacterial small subunit ribosomal RNA
Source: RNAcentral